CCCGUCUCAGGGUCAUACCUGGAGAGUUUCCAGUACUCUACCAGUCUCAACUACGGGAGGGAGAGUCGAGCAGAUGCAAACCAUUCCAUUCCUAGCUUGGCCAGUGGCUAGCGAGUGGAAGGCAAUCGGCUACAAGU
Molecule: small nucleolar RNA, 137 nt
Filed under: Ornithorhynchus anatinus (platypus)
Lineage: Eukaryota; Metazoa; Chordata; Mammalia; Monotremata; Ornithorhynchidae
Source: RNAcentral